This 1465-nucleotide ribosomal RNA is filed under the name uncultured Bordetella sp. RNAcentral's name for it is "partial 16S-23S ribosomal RNA intergenic spacer". It matches the Rfam family "Bacterial small subunit ribosomal RNA". The record is from RNAcentral. Lineage: Bacteria; Pseudomonadati; Pseudomonadota; Betaproteobacteria; Burkholderiales; Alcaligenaceae.
UAACAGAGGGUUUGAUUAUGGCUCAGAUUAGACGCUGGCGGGAUGCUUUACAUACAAGUCGAACGGCAGCACGGACUUCGGUCUGGUGGCGAGUGGCGACAGGUGAGUAAUGUAUCGGGCAGUACCUAGUAGCGGGGGAUAACUACGCGGCGUAGCUAAUACCGCAUACGCCCUUCGAGGAAAGCGGGGGACCUUCGGGCUCGCACUAUUAGAGCGGCCGAUAUCGGAUUGGCUAGUUGGUGGGGUAACGGCUCACCAAGGCGACGAUCCGUAGCUGGUUUUGAGGAGGACGACCAGCCACACUGGGACUGAGACACAGCCCAGACUCCUACGGGAGGCAGCAGUGGAAUUUGGACAAUGGGAAACCUGAUCCAGCCAUCCCGCGUGUGCGAUGAAGGCCUUCGGGUUGCCAAAGCACUUUUGGCGGAAAGAGCGGCACGGGAUAAUACCCGUGCAAUGACCGUACCUGCAGAAUAAGCACCGGUAACUACCGUGCCAGCAGCCGCGGUAAUACGUAGGGUGCAAGCGUUAAUCGGAAUUACUGGGCGUAAAGCGUGCGAGCGGUUCGGAAAGAAGAAAGAUGAAAUCAGGAAAACGCUUUGGAACUGCAUUUUAACUACCGAGCUAGAGUGUGUCAGAGGGAGGUGGAAUUCGCGAUAGCAGUGAAAGUGCGUGGUAUGCGGAGGGAACACCGAUGGCGAAGGCAGCCUCCUGGGAUAACACUGACGCUCAUGCACGAAAGCGUGGGAGCAAACGGGAUUAGAUACCCUGGUAGUCCACGCCCUAAACGAUGUCAACUAGCCUGUUGACGGGCGCUGGUAGCGCAGCUAACGCGUGAAGUUGACCGCCUGGGAAGUACGGUCGCAAGAUUAAAACUCAAAGGAAUUGACGGGGACCCGCACAAGCGGUGGAUGAUGUGGAUUAAUUCGAUGCAACGCGAAAAACCUUACCUACCGCCGAGCAUGUCUGGAAUCCCGAAGAGAUUUGGGAGUGCUCGCAAGAGAACCGGAACACAGGUGCUGCAUGGCUGUCGUCAGCUCGUGUCGUGAGAUGUUGGGUUAAGUCCCGCAACAGGCGCAGCCCUUGUCAUUAGUUGCUACGAAGAACUGCUCGGCCGAGACUGCCGGUGGUAAACCGGAGGAAGGUGGGGAUGACGUCAAGUCCUCAUGGCCCUUAUGGGUAGGGCUUCACACGUCAUACAAUGGUCGGGACAGAGGUCGCCAACCCGCGAGGGAGAGCCAAUCCCAGAAACCCGAUCGUAGUCCGGAUCACCAGUCUGCAACUCGACUGCGUGAAGUCCGGAAUCAUAGUAAUCGCGGAUCAGCAUGUCGCAGUGGGCCGUUCCCAGGUCUUGUACACACGCCGUCACACCAUGGGAGUGGGUUUUGAAGUAGAUUAGCCUAACCGUAAGGAGGGCGAUUACCACGGUAGGAUUCAUGACUGGGGUGAAGUCGUAACAAGGUAG